UCCCUCUAUCCCCAGC
RNAcentral lists this transfer RNA (16 nucleotides) under Tectaria phaeocaulis. RNAcentral's name for it is "partial tRNA-Leu". The record is from RNAcentral. Lineage: Eukaryota; Viridiplantae; Streptophyta; Polypodiopsida; Polypodiales; Tectariaceae.